Balaenoptera acutorostrata (minke whale) is the source of this 516-nucleotide long non-coding RNA. RefSeq lists it as uncharacterized. The record is from RefSeq and is a predicted model, not a curated record. NCBI's taxonomy places the organism in Eukaryota, Metazoa, Chordata, Mammalia, Artiodactyla, Balaenopteridae. The transcript has 3 exons.
UGCUUUUCUAACUGGAACACAGAGCAGGCCUCCAGAGGCAGGGCAUCUGUUGCUCGCCGCCUGCUCCCUUCAUUUCUGCAUGGACCACAAAACUCGAGAAGCGGAGUGGCGUCAGAAGUUCCUUGUCGCCGCCUCUCUGGGUGACUGAAGCUGAUGCAGGGUGAUGCCAGCACCCUGGACCAGAGCAUUCCCGGCCACGGGUGCACUCGGCCUGACUGCGCUGGGAAGUGAGAGAGGAUGUGAGGUCUCACUCACUGCCUGUUCACCUUGGGCAGGCCUCUGGAAGGGCAGGCAAAUGCUGGCGGAAGGGUCCCCCCUGCCCGAUGCAUCACGGCGCCUGGAGGAUUGACCCGCAAGGGUGUGAAGAAGGAGGAGGCGGUGACCCCUUUGCCCUGCACCUGAGACUCACCUGCGUUUUGAGUAGAGAGUCUCUGAGACUUACACGUGCAUGUAAAUAUAGAAAACACACUUCUGAGGAGGCGACCUGUCACCACCACUGACCAGGUUUUCGCUGUU